Molecule: ribosomal RNA, 703 nt
Filed under: uncultured archaeon
Lineage: Archaea
Description: bacterial SSU rRNA
Rfam family: Archaeal small subunit ribosomal RNA
Source: RNAcentral
ACGGGGUGCAGCAGGCGCGAAACCUUCACAAUGCACGAAAGUGUGAUGAGGUCAUCCCGAGUCCUAGGCUUACGUCUAGGUUUUCUGGAGUUUGAUAAGCUUCAGGAAUAAGGAGGGGGCAAGAACGGUGCCAGCCGCCGCGGUAAAACCGUCUCUUCGAGUGGCCACCGCGUUUACUGGGCUUAAAGCGUGCGUAGCGGGAUUAGUCCGUCCCACAUUAAAGACGGCUUCUCAAGAGUCCGAAGUGUGUGGGAAACAGCUAAUCUUGGCAAUGGGAUAGGGGCUCGGUACCCGUGGUGUAAAGGUGAAAUUUUAUAAUCCCACGGGGACCACCGAUGGCGAAGGCAGAGCCCUGGAACAUGUGCGACCGUCAGGCACGAAAGGGUGGGUAGCGAGCCGGAUUAGAUACCCGGGUAGUCCACCCCGUAAACGAUGCGGAUUAAGUGUAUGGGAAGCGAAUGCUUUCCAUGUGCCGUAGGGAAACCGUUAAAUCCGCCGCCUGGGAAGUACGCUCGCAAGAGUGAAACUUAAAGCAAUUGGCGGGAGAGCGCCACAAUGGGUGGAGCCUGCGGCUUAAUUGGACUCAACGCCGGAAAACUCACCAGAGUCUUCUAUCCGAUGCCAACCAGCUUGAAGAGCUUGUUGAAAGGAUGAAAGGGAAGUGCAUGGCCGUCUCCAGCUCGUGCCGUGAGGUGUCCUGUUA